RNAcentral lists this ribosomal RNA (498 nucleotides) under uncultured bacterium. RNAcentral's name for it is "partial 16S ribosomal RNA". It matches the Rfam family "Bacterial small subunit ribosomal RNA", at positions 28 to 507 of the family's 1533-position model. The record is from RNAcentral.
GACGAACGCUGGCGGCGUGCCUAAUACAUGCAAGUCGAACGAGAGCGACCGGUGCUUGCACUGGUCAAUCUAGUGGCGAACGGGUGAGUAACACGUGGGUAACCUGCCCAUCAGAGGGGGAUAACAUCCGGAAACGGAUGCUAAAACCGCAUAGGUCUUCGAACCGCAUGGUUUGAAGAGGAAAAGAGGCGCAAGCUUCUGCUGAUGGAUGGACCCGCGGUGCAUUAGCUAGUUGGUGAGGUAACGGCUCACCAAGGCCGUGAUGCAUAGCCGACCUGAGAGGGUGAUCGGCCACAUUGGGACUGAGACACGGCCCAAACUCCUACGGGAGGCAGCAGUAGGGAAUCUUCCGCAAUGGACGCAAGUCUGACGGAGCAACGCCACGUGAGUGAAGAAGGUUUUCGGAUCGUAAAACUCUGUUGUUAGAGAAGAACAAGUGCUAGAGUAACUGUUAGCGCCUUGACGGUAUCUAACCAGAAAGCCACGGCUAACUACGUG